UACGGAGGGUGCAAGCGUUGUUCGGAAUCAUUGGGCGUAAAGCGCGUGUAGGCGGCUAGGCAAGUCGGUUGUGAAAGCCCGGGGCCCAACCCCGGAACUGCAUCUGAAACUGCCUGGCUAGAGUCCCGGAGAGGAAGGCAGAAUUCCCGGUGUAGGGGUGAAAUCCGUAGAUAUCGGGAGGAAUACCAGUGGCGAA
RNAcentral lists this ribosomal RNA (196 nucleotides) under uncultured prokaryote. RNAcentral describes it as "partial 16S ribosomal RNA". It matches the Rfam family "Bacterial small subunit ribosomal RNA", at positions 524 to 719 of the family's 1533-position model. The record is from RNAcentral.